This 158-nucleotide ribosomal RNA is filed under the name Venturia carpophila. RNAcentral's name for it is "5.8S ribosomal RNA". It matches the Rfam family "5.8S ribosomal RNA". Rfam says of the family: 5.8S ribosomal RNA (5.8S rRNA) is a component of the large subunit of the eukaryotic ribosome. Lineage: Eukaryota; Fungi; Ascomycota; Dothideomycetes; Venturiales; Venturiaceae. The record is from RNAcentral.
AAACUUUCAACAACGGAUCUCUUGGUUCUGGCAACGAUGAAGAACGCAGCGAAAUGCGAUAAGUAAUGUGAAUUGCAGAAUUCAGUGAAUCAUCGAAUCUUUGAACGCACAUUGCGCCCCCUGGUAUUCCGGGGGGCACGCCUGUUCGAGCGCCAUUU